CCUACGGGGGGCAGCAGUCGAGAAUCAUUCACAAUGGGGGAAACCCUGAUGGUGCGACGCCGCGUGGGGGAAUGAAGGUCUUCGGAUUGUAAACCCCUGUCAUGUGGGAGCAAAUUAAAAAGAUAGUACCACAAGAGGAAGAGACGGCUAACUCUGUGCCAGCAGCCGCGGUAAUACAGAGGUCUCAAGCGUUGUUCGGAAUCACUGGGCGUAAAGCGUGCGUAGGCUGUUUCGUAAGUCGUGUGUGAAAGGCGCGGGCUCAACCCGCGGACGGCACAUGAUACUGCGAGACUAGAGUAAGGGAGGGGGAACCGGAAUUCUCGGUGUAGCAGUGAAAUGCGUAGAUAUCGAGAGGAACACUAGUGGCGAAGGCGGGUUCCUGGACAUUAACUGACGCUGAGGCACGAAGGCCAGGGGAGCGAAAGGGAUUAGAUACCCUUGUAGUC
Molecule: ribosomal RNA, 446 nt
Filed under: uncultured bacterium
Lineage: Bacteria
Description: partial 16S ribosomal RNA
Rfam family: Bacterial small subunit ribosomal RNA
Source: RNAcentral